UUAAUUUGUUUUAUUUAUUAUAUGACACUCUUUGGCGAUAGAAUAUUGUUAUAAUGUGUGCAAUGAAUAUCUGCGAGUCUAAUGCAGAUCAAGUCGGGUCUAACAGUACUCUAAGUGAAUGUGAUACUCAUUUAAAUGAAUUUCUAGUCAUUGAAUGUCAACCAAAGUUAAUUGAUAUGAUUUGUGACAACAAUAUUAAUGCAAAUUUAGACCAAAUUUUCAACUUUGAUAUAAAUACAGUGAUAUCAACUGUCAA
Molecule: long non-coding RNA, 256 nt
Organism: Oppia nitens
Lineage: Eukaryota; Metazoa; Arthropoda; Arachnida; Sarcoptiformes; Oppiidae
Exons: 3
Source: RefSeq, a predicted model, not a curated record